AGCAGCCGCGGUAAUUCCAGCUCCAAUAGCGUAUAUUAAAGUUGUUGCAGUUAAAAAGCUCGUAGUUGAAUUUCGGGGUCAGUAGAUUGGUCGUGCCACUGGUAUGUACUGGUCUUACUGGCUCCUCCUUCCUGAUGAACCGUAAUGCCAUUAAUUUGGUGUUGCGGGGAAACUGGACUGUUACUUUGAAAAAAUUAGAGUGUUUAAAGCAGGCUCACGCUUGAAUACAUUAGCAUGGAAUAAUGAAAUAGGACGUUCGAUCUUAUUUUGUUGGUUUCUAGGAUUGACGUAAUGAUUAAUAGGGAUAGUUGGGGGCAUUAGUAUUCAAUUGUCAGAGGUGAAAUUCUUGGAUGUAU
RNAcentral lists this ribosomal RNA (356 nucleotides) under uncultured Glomeraceae. RNAcentral's name for it is "SSU rRNA". It matches the Rfam family "Eukaryotic small subunit ribosomal RNA", at positions 569 to 929 of the family's 1831-position model. The record is from RNAcentral. Lineage: Eukaryota; Fungi; Glomeromycota; Glomeromycetes; Glomerales; Glomeraceae.